This 94-nucleotide transfer RNA is filed under the name Verrucomicrobiota bacterium. Its description in RNAcentral is "Verrucomicrobia bacterium (marine metagenome) tRNA-Ser". It matches the Rfam family "tRNA". From Rfam's summary of the family: Transfer RNA (tRNA) molecules are approximately 80 nucleotides in length. Their secondary structure includes four short double-helical elements and three loops (D, anti-codon, and T loops). Lineage: Bacteria; Pseudomonadati; Verrucomicrobiota. The record is from RNAcentral.
GGAGAGGUGGCUGAGUGGUCGAAAGCGGUGGAUUGCUAAUCCAUUGUACGCCCUCAAAGGUGUACCGCGGGUUCAAAUCCCGCCCUCUCCGCCA